AGCUUUGCCCAGUGGCAGUAUCGUAGCCAAUGAGAUUUAUCCAAGGCGCAAUUAUUGCUAAUUGAAAAAUUUUCUCAUUAUUAUACAUAUGGUGAGGAUUUCCAAAUCUCUGUAUCCAAGUCCUCUUAUUUGAGGAACAGUUUUCUGU
Small nuclear RNA from Ochotona princeps (American pika), 148 nucleotides. RefSeq annotates it as U4 spliceosomal RNA. NCBI's taxonomy places the organism in Eukaryota, Metazoa, Chordata, Mammalia, Lagomorpha, Ochotonidae. The transcript has a single exon. The record is from RefSeq and is a predicted model, not a curated record.